CCUACGGGUGGCUGCAGUGAGGAAUAUUGGUCAAUGGCCGAGAGCCUGAACCAGCCAAGUCGCGUGAAGGAUGACGGCCCUACGGGUUGUAAACCUCUUUUAUCUGGGAGCAAAGUGAGCCACGUGUGCCUCUUUGUAAGUACCCUAUGAAUAAGCAUCGGCUAACUCCGUGCCAGCAGCCGCGGUAAUACGGAGGAUGCGAGCGUUAUCCGGAUUUAUUGGGUUUAAAGGGUGCGUAGGUGGGUGGUGAAGUCAGCGGUCAAAGUUUGGGGCUCAACCCCAUAAUUGCCGUUGAAACUGGUUGCCUUGAGUACACUUGAGGUAGGCGGAAUGCGUGGUGUAGCGGUGAAAUGCAUAGAUAUCACGCAGAACUCCGAUUGCGAAGGCAGCCUACUGA
Molecule: ribosomal RNA, 397 nt
Filed under: uncultured bacterium
Lineage: Bacteria
Description: partial 16S ribosomal RNA
Rfam family: Bacterial small subunit ribosomal RNA
Source: RNAcentral